GACAGAGGAUGCAAGCGUUAUCCGGAAUGAUUGGGCGUAAAGCGUCUGUAGGUGGCUUUUUAAGUCUGCCGUCAAAUCCCAGGGCUUAACCCUGUACAGGCGGUGGAAACUACCAAGCUGGAGUACGGUAGGGGCAGAGGGAAUUUCCGGUGGAGCGGUGAAAUGCGUAGAGAUCGGAAAGAACACCAACGGCGAAAACACUCUGCUGGGCCGACACUGACACUGAGAGACGAAAGCUAGGGGAGCGAAUGGG
Molecule: ribosomal RNA, 253 nt
Filed under: uncultured bacterium
Lineage: Bacteria
Description: partial 16S ribosomal RNA
Rfam family: Bacterial small subunit ribosomal RNA
Source: RNAcentral